AUGUCCCUGAAAGUUAACAAGGAAACCUCUGCUCCUCCCAAAGUCAAGAUAAAGCAAAGUCUUUGAAGGCCAAAAAGGCAGUGCAGAAAAGUAUCCACAACCAUACUCAAAAGAUCCUCACACUACUCCACUUCUGGUGGCCCAAGACUCUGCAGCUUUUAAGGCAGCAAAAUGUCCUUAGAAAAGUACCACCAGGAGAAGCAAGCUUGAUCACUCUGCCAUCAUGUUCCACUUGAAUCAGACAAGAAUAGGGAAGACAAUACAUAUGUGUUCAUUUUAGAUGUCAAAACCAACAUGCACCAGUUCCAAAGGCUGUGAAGAAGCUUCAUGACACUAACAUGGCCAAGAUCAACACACUGAUCAGGCCUGAUGAACAAAAAAAGGCUUGA
Molecule: long non-coding RNA, 389 nt
Filed under: Homo sapiens (human)
Lineage: Eukaryota; Metazoa; Chordata; Mammalia; Primates; Hominidae
Description: non-protein coding lnc-CD180-11:1
Source: RNAcentral